Molecule: ribosomal RNA, 498 nt
Filed under: uncultured bacterium
Lineage: Bacteria
Description: partial 16S ribosomal RNA
Rfam family: Bacterial small subunit ribosomal RNA
Source: RNAcentral
AUUGAACGCUGGCGGCAUGCCUUACACAUGCAAGUCGAACGGUAACAGGUCUUCGGAUGCUGACGAGUGGCGAACGGGUGAGUAAUACAUCGGAACGUGCCUAGUAGUGGGGGAUAACUACUCGAAAGAGUGGCUAAUACCGCAUGAGAUCUACGGAUGAAAGCAGGGGAUCGCAAGACCUUGUGCUACCAGAGCGGCCGAUGGCAGAUUAGGUAGUUGGUGGGAUAAAAGCUUACCAAGCCGACGAUCUGUAGCUGGUCUGAGAGGACGAUCAGCCACACUGGGACUGAGACACGGCCCAGACUCCUACGGGAGGCAGCAGUGGGGAAUUUUGGACAAUGGGCGCAAGCCUGAUCCAGCAAUGCCGCGUGCAGGAUGAAGGCCUUCGGGUUGUAAACUGCUUUAGUACGGAACGAAAAGCCCCGGGUUAAUACCCUGGGGUCAUGACGGUACCGUAAGAAUAAGCACCGGCUAACUACGUGCCAGCAGCCGCCGUAA